GGCCUUUUGGGAGCUCACUGGCUUUGGGUUCCAUCAGAACUUCGAAGUUAAGUAAGUUCGCGCGAGAGCAAUCCCAGGAUGGGUGACCCACUGGGAAGUUCUCGUGUGAGUUCCUAGAAACAAAACCAUGAGGGCGUGGUCGAGGCCCAAAGCGGACAAUAUCGUGUUACGGCGGAGUCGAGCCUGUGAUGUGGUGGGAGCCUAGGCCGGGAUGUGGCAAUUUGGUAUCAGAGCCAAUCCCUGGCUAGAUGUGUGUCAACGAGGACGUCGAGCCCCUAAGGGGGAUGGAUUGUGACGUCCCACAUCACUCAGGGGAGUGGAUCCUAUAAGCCUUAUAUGUAUAUUCCCAUCUCUACCUAGCACGAGGCCUUUUGGGAGCUCACUGGCUUCGGGUUCCAUCGGAACUUCGAAGUUAAGCGAGUUUGCGCAAGAGCAAUCCCAAGAUGGGUGACCUAAUGGGAAGUUCUCAUGUGAGUUCCUAGA
Molecule: small RNA, 483 nt
Filed under: Malus domestica (apple)
Lineage: Eukaryota; Viridiplantae; Streptophyta; Magnoliopsida; Rosales; Rosaceae
Source: RNAcentral